AGGCGUAGAGUUCGGUAGGGGAGGAUCGGAAUUCCUGGUGUAGCGGUGAAAUGCGCAGAUAUCAGGAGGAACACCGGUGGCGAAGGCGGAUCUCUGGGCCGAUACUGACGCUGAGGAGCGAAAGCUGGGGAGCGAACAGGAUUAGAUACCCUGGUAGUCCACGCCGUAAACGGUGGGCACUAGGUGUGGGCAACAUUCCACGUUGUCCGUGCCGCAGCUAACGCAUUAAGUGCCCCGCCUGGGGAGUACGGCCGCAAGGCUAAAACUCAAAGGAAUUGACGGGGGCCCGCACAAGCGGCGGAGCAUGUGGCUUAAUUCGACGCAACGCGAAGAACCUUACCAAGGCUUGACAUACACCGGAAAACCCUGGAGACAGGGUCCCCCUUGUGGUCGGUGUACGGGUGGUGCAUGGCUGUCGUCAGCUCGUG
This 428-nucleotide non-coding RNA is filed under the name Streptomyces afghaniensis 772. Its description in RNAcentral is "Bacterial small subunit ribosomal RNA". It matches the Rfam family "Bacterial small subunit ribosomal RNA", at positions 637 to 1064 of the family's 1533-position model. The record is from Rfam by way of RNAcentral. Lineage: Bacteria; Bacillati; Actinomycetota; Actinomycetes; Kitasatosporales; Streptomycetaceae.